AAGAGACAGAGACCAGACUCUCCUGGACCCAGCUGUGUGUCCAUGAAGAGUGAUGACUCUAAAGAUCUUAUUAUUCACUUUAAAGAUGGACGUCCUGCUGAUGGAAGGAUGAAGAGACAGAGACCAGACUCUCCUGGACCCAGCUGUGUGUCCAUGAAGAGUGACCAGUCUAAAGAUUUCUAUACUGUCUUUAAAGAUGGACGUCCUGCUGAUGGAAGAGUUCAACAGGAGAGCUCCGAGGUUUACAGAGAUCAAUCA
Molecule: non-coding RNA, 258 nt
Organism: Labrus bergylta (ballan wrasse)
Lineage: Eukaryota; Metazoa; Chordata; Actinopteri; Labriformes; Labridae
Source: RefSeq, a predicted model, not a curated record